This 107-nucleotide small nuclear RNA is filed under the name Prolemur simus (greater bamboo lemur). The record is from RNAcentral. Lineage: Eukaryota; Metazoa; Chordata; Mammalia; Primates; Lemuridae.
AUGCUCACUUUGGCAGCACAGAUACUAAAAUUGGAAUGAUACAAAGAAGGUUACCGUAGUCUCUGCACAAAGAUGACAGGCAAAUUCUUGAAGCAUUCCAUGUUUUG